GGCAUAGGAAGCCUGGAGGUUGGGGCCUGAGGGCUUGGGGGUCCCAGCUGUGACCACCUGUGAACUGUGAGAAUAGGUGUGGACGAAGCAGUUAGGCCCCUCUGAGCCUCAAUUUCCAAGUCUGUCAGUGGAGACAGCUCCGCAUCCCCAGCAGGGCUGUGGAAGCCCAAGGCAUUGGGAGAGGAGCUUUGCCUGUCAGCUCCAGCCAAGAUCAAUCAAGCUGUUUCCAUUGAGGACUGUUUUUAAACUGAGAUGAUAUUCACAUGUAAAGUUCAUCCUUCUAAAAUG
This is a long non-coding RNA of Sapajus apella (tufted capuchin), 288 nucleotides long. RefSeq lists it as uncharacterized. NCBI's taxonomy places the organism in Eukaryota, Metazoa, Chordata, Mammalia, Primates, Cebidae. The transcript has 2 exons. The record is from RefSeq and is a predicted model, not a curated record.